CCACACGGGAAGGGCCCGAAGGCUCAUUUAUUGAAAGGCACGGAGCUGGGAAGGAGAGGGGCUGGGCGGGGGGGAGGCAGUGCCAUGGGGAGGAGAAGCUGCCCCACAGCAGAAGCCUGAGCCCUGCCCCACGGCAGAGUGACCCUCUGGUCCCCCCCUGCCUUGGGGUGGGGGGUGGGAGCCUGAGGUGUGGAGACGAAGGCUGCCCCUUGGGGUGUGCAUAGCUGGGGUAGGGGGUUGCCCCACUGAAUGUGCAUAGCAGGGGUUGGGGGGCUGCCCCACUGAGUGUGCAUAGCUAGGCUUCGGGGUCUACCCCACAGAAUGUGCAUAGCUGGGGUUGGGGGGCUGCCCCACAGACUGUGCGUAUCUAGGAAUGGGGGGGCUGCCCCACAGAGUGUGUGUAUCUGGGGUUGGGGGGCUGCCCCACGGGGUGUGCGUACCUAGGCAGGGGAGGGGGCUGCCCCACGGGGUGUGCGUAGCCGGGGCUGGGGCUGCCCCACAGCCGCAGCUCAGGGGGCAGGGACCCUCAGACAGCCUCCUGCGCCCGGCGGUACUCGAAGACGCUCCCACGCUCCGCAAAGCUCUGCGGCGCCAGCGGCCGAGCCGUCUCCUCGGGUUCCCCCCCAUCCCCAGGGGAGCCAAAGCCGCCCCCGCCGGGGGUCUGCAGGCGGAAUACAUCCUGCGGUGGGGAGAAGACGGGGCGUCGGGGGGUGCAGGGGUGCUGGGGGGGUGUGUGUGGGGGUCCCACGUGACACUCACCCCUGGCUCCACCGGCACUGAUGUCUUGGCGCCCAGGUUGAUGGUUCGGCCGUCGCGGCGCAGCAGCAGGUUGAGCCCCGGGGCGCCGGGGCUGCCCCCUAAGCGGCAAAGUGUGGGUCAGGGGGCAAUGGGGGGCCGCUGGGGGCCACGGCGGGGGGUCCCCGCUCACCUCGCAGGCCGUAGGGGCGGAUGGCACGGCGCUCGCUCAGCACCGACAGCACCAUGUCCUCACGGAAGAGCAGCUCCCGCACGACGCCGUCGCCACCGUGGCAGCGCCCUGAGCCCCCCGAGCCCCGCCGCAGCUCAAAGCGCUGCAGGACCACGGGGUACCUGGCAGGGGAGACGCACACGGGGUGAGUCCUGGCAGGGCCCCGGCAGCCCCCCCGUGCUCCCCCCCAGGCUCCAGCACCCACCGCUGCUCCAGGAUCUCGGGGUCAGUGAUGCGGGUGUUGGUCAUGUGCGUGUGGACCCCGCUGCGGCCGUGCCAGUGCGGGCCAGCCCCCGCGCCCCCGGCCACCGUCUCGUAGUAGCCCACCCGCUCGUUCCCGAAGGUGACGUUGUUCAUGCAGCCCUGAGGAUGGAGGGCAGGGGGCGGCGGGGGGCACACAGCCCCCACCAGGGAUCCGACCCUGGGGACCCCCAGCACCCCAGACCCCUGGCGACCCCGGCACCCAGCACCCUCAACUCCUGACCCCUGGGAUCUCCAGCAACCCCGGCCCCCGGGGCCCUUGACCCCCUAGGACACCCCACAUCCCAGACUCCUGGGACCCCUGACUCCCAGGACCCCCAGCACCCCAGAGCUCUGGCAUCCUGAGACCCCUGGCACCCCAUACCCCUAGGAUGUCUGACUCCUGGGACCCCCGACACCCAGCACUAGGACUCCCAGGAUGUCUGGCGCCCCAGGACCCCCAGCCUCCAGCACUUCCAACCCGUGGAACCCCUGACCCCCAGGAUCCCCAACAUUCCAGACCACUCAUAACCCUGACUCCCAGGACCCCAGACCCCUGGCAUCCCAGGACUCCCAAGACUCCUCAGGACCCCAGACCCCUCAGGACCCCCAAGCCACAGGACCCCUGGCACCCUUACAUGCCCAACUCCUCUGACCCCCAUCACCCCAGACCCCUGGGACCCCCAACCCCCAGGAAUCCCAGCAUCCCAGAGCCUUGGCAACCUGGGAGCCGUGGGAACCAACACCCCUGGGACCCCCGACCCCCAGCACCUAGGAUUCCCAGGACCUCUGGCACCCCAGGACCCCAAACCCAGGGACCUCUUACCUCCAGCACCCCCAACACCUGGGACCCCUGAACCCCAGGACCCCCAAAAUCCCAGACCUCUCAUAGCCCCGACUCCCAGGACCCCGACCCAUGGCACCCCAGGAACCCCAAGGCUCCCAAGACCCCAGACCCCCCAGGACCCCCAAACCACAAGACUCCUGGGACCCCCAGCACCCCGCAUCUCUGACUCCUGGGACCCCAGACCCCCUGGGACCCCCAUUCCCCAGGAGACCUGACACCCUGGGACCCCAGACCCCUGAGAUCACUUGCACACUGGACCCCUAGGACCCUCGGCACCUGGGACCCUCAGCACUCUGGGACCUGUCACCCUCGUCCCUACCUGUGAGGCAGCGCAGACGCCGAAGGCUUUAAAGAUGACAUCCACCACGCGCUGGGAGGUGAGGACGUUGCCCCCCACCACGGCAGCCUCGGGCGAGGGGUCCAGGAUGGAGCCCUUGGGGAUGACCACUCGCACGGGGGCCAGGCAGCCCUUGGUGUGGGGACACACAGGUGGCCCAUUGGUCCCAGCUGGCCCCCGCAUGGGUCCUGCCACACAUAUGCAGCACCCCGAGCCCCCCACC
This is a long non-coding RNA of Falco tinnunculus (common kestrel), 2614 nucleotides long. The record is from Ensembl. Lineage: Eukaryota; Metazoa; Chordata; Aves; Falconiformes; Falconidae.